This is a ribosomal RNA of 567 nucleotides. The stretch from base 211 to 364 matches the Rfam family "5.8S ribosomal RNA".
UGCGGAGGGAUCAUUACAGAGUUUUCUAAACUCCAACCCUAUGUGAACUUACCUUUGUUGCUUCGGCGGCGGAGGCUACCCUGCGGGAGAAUACCACUUAGUGGUUACCCUGUAGUUUCAGGUACAUCAGCUACCCGGUAGUCAUCCCCGCCGGCGGCCAACUAAACUCUGUUUUCUUUGGAAUUCUGAAUAACAAACUUAAUAAGUUAAAACUUUCAACAACGGAUCUCUUGGUUCUGGCAUCGAUGAAGAACGCAGCGAAAUGCGAUAAGUAAUGUGAAUUGCAGAAUUCAGUGAAUCAUCGAAUCUUUGAACGCACAUUGCGCCCAUUAGCAUUCUAGUGGGCAUGCCUGUUCGAGCGUCAUUUCACCACUUAAGCCUUGUUGCUUAGCGUUGGGAGCCUACGGCACGGCCCGUAGCUCCUUAAAGUGAUUGGCGGAGUUGGUUCUCACUCUAAGCGUAGUAAUUAUAUCUCGCUUCUGUAGUGGUCCCGGCCCCUGCCGUAAAACCCCUUAUACAAAGGUUGACCUCGGAUCAGGUAGGAAUACCCGCUGAACUUAAGCAUAU